CGCGUAGGCGGUCAGGUAAGUCGGGUGUGAAAUUCCGGGCUCAACCCCGCGAACUGCAUCCGAUACUGCUUGACUUGAGAGAGGUAGGGCGAGUGGAAUUCCCGGUGUAGCGGUGGAAUGCGUAGAUAUCGGGAAGAACACCGGUGGCGAAGGCGGCUCGCUGGACCUUUUCUGACGCUGAAGCGCGAAAGCGUGGGGAGCAAACA
RNAcentral lists this ribosomal RNA (206 nucleotides) under uncultured bacterium. RNAcentral's name for it is "partial 16S ribosomal RNA". It matches the Rfam family "Bacterial small subunit ribosomal RNA", at positions 568 to 774 of the family's 1533-position model. The record is from RNAcentral.